Long non-coding RNA from Larimichthys crocea (large yellow croaker), 1109 nucleotides. RefSeq lists it as uncharacterized. NCBI's taxonomy places the organism in Eukaryota, Metazoa, Chordata, Actinopteri, Sciaenidae. The transcript is spliced from 2 exons. The record is from RefSeq and is a predicted model, not a curated record.
GGGGCUUCAGGCCUGUUCCAACGAGCUCUCACAGGAAGGAAAGAAAUGAGAGAGUGAUCAGAACAUGGCGAACUAAACGAUGGGAGCUCAUGGAGAAAUUUGAACAUUAUGGGCCAAGUUGUGUUUGGGCUCAGCUGACGCCUUCUAGUUCUAUUUGUUCGAAAUAAAAAAUCCCCAGAAACAUACUGACCUUGUUCAGGAUUUCUGUGACUGCAGAGCUUCCAGUAGUGCAGACCUCAACACUCCUCAACGAUGGUCACCAUCAAAUCCUCCACAGCCCACCCUCUCUGACUCCCAUUUAAAGCUUCCAUUCAUGUUUACAGGACAGGACAGAAGAGAACUACCCCCUAAUGCAGUGUCACAUCAACAGGAAAGUCAGAUUCCAAUGAAAUAUUUAAUCUGAUCAAAGAUCAUCAUCAUUGUAUGGAGUCCUGCAUUCAGUAAUAUGGAUGACUGAAAAACAUGUAAAGAAACGUCUGGUGUGACUGUGCACCGGGCCUCGUCAAAUCUGUGAUGCCCAAUGAACCAUCUGCAAAGACCACUUGGCUUCAGAAAUGAUGAUGAAAUUUAAUUCAUUAAUAAUCCUACAAAAAGUGGGGCUAACUUCUACUAUCAUCCCUUUCAAAUGCUGGUACAGAAAACUUUGAGUUACAUUUGGUGAGAGGGCAGGAGGGGAGCAGGAAGGCAGCAGAAGAGUGAUUUCUUACAAAAUUAUACAGGAUCAUAUCAAACAUUCAGUCCAGCUGCACACAUGCCUUGGUAACUAGUCCAUUCAGGGCUCAGUGCCAGAUUUUUAUUCAGGAGUAAUGCUGCAACACAUCUGCUGCCAAUCAAAAUUAGCUGAUGUUAAUUGUUUUCUCAGGAGACACCUGGCUUAUAGCAAUAUUUGGACCUUAUUUCUAAUGUUAAGAAAAUAAAGUGAAGCAUUUGGCAGCUCUAAGGCCAGACAUUUCUCUCAGGAUGACCAAACCAAAAGCCUUUUCCACAGUGGGAGCUACAAUAUGCCUGAAUAGAACCAUGGUAGGUUUUCAUUUGAUCUAGAAAAGCUUGAAAAUUCAAGUUUCCAAACGCCUCAUGAAGGCCCAUUCUUAAGUAAAGGUGGUGAUGCA